UGGGGAAUCUUCCGCAAUGGACGAAAGUCUGACGGAGCAACGCCGCGUGAGUGAUGACGGCCUUCGGGUUGUAAAGCUCUGUUAAUCGGGACGAAUGGUUCUUGUGCAAAUAGUGCGAGGAUUUGACGGUACCGGAAUAGAAAGCCACGGCUAACUACGUGCCAGCAGCCGCGGUAAUACGUAGGUGGCAAGCGUUGUCCGGAAUUAUUGGGCGUAAAGCGCGCGCAGGCGGAUUGGUCAGUCUGUCUUAAAAGUUCGGGGCUUAACCCCGUGAUGGGAUGGAAACUGCCAAUCUAGAGUAUCGGAGAGGAAAGUGGAAUUCCUAGUGUAGCGGUGAAAUGCGUAGAUAUUAGGGAGAACACCAGUGGCGAAGGCGACUUUCUGGACGAAAACUGACGCUGAGGCGCGAAAGCCAGGGGAGCGAACGGG
This 429-nucleotide ribosomal RNA is filed under the name bacterium. RNAcentral describes it as "partial 16S ribosomal RNA". It matches the Rfam family "Bacterial small subunit ribosomal RNA", at positions 355 to 776 of the family's 1533-position model. The record is from RNAcentral.